Molecule: ribosomal RNA, 760 nt
Filed under: uncultured bacterium
Lineage: Bacteria
Description: bacterial SSU rRNA
Rfam family: Bacterial small subunit ribosomal RNA
Source: RNAcentral
CCUACGGGAGGCAGCAGUGAGGAAUAUUGGUCAAUGGGCACACGCCUGAACCAGCCAUCCCGCGUGCAGGAUGACGGCCUUAUGGGUUGUAAACUGCUUUUUUUAGUGAAGAAUUAGUUUGACGAGUCAUACUUUGACAGUAGCUAAGGAAUAAGCAUCGGCUAACUCCGUGCCAGCAGCCGCGGUAAUACGGAGGAUGCAAGCGUUAUCCGGAUUCAUUGGGUUUAAAGGGUGCGCAGGCGGGGGAAUAAGUCAGUGGUGAAAAGCUGCCGCUCAACGGUAGUCUUGCCAAUGAUACUGUUUUUCUUGAGUAUGGUUAAGGUAGGUGGAAUGUGCAGUGUAGCGGUGAAAUGCAUAGAGAUUGCACAGAAGGCCGAUUGCGAAGGCAGCUUACUGAACCAUAACUGACGCUCAUGCACGAAAGCGUGGGGAUCAAACAGGAUUAGAUACCCUGGUAGUCCACGCUGUAAACUAUGUUCACUCGCUGUUUGCGAUAUACUGUAAGCGGCUAAGCGAAAGCAUUAAGUGAACCACCUGGGGAGUACGAUCGCAAGGUUGAAACUCAAAGGAAUUGACGGGGGCCCGCACAAGCGGAGGAACAUGUGGUUUAAUUCGAUGAUACGCGAGGAACCUUACCUGGGCUUAAAUGUAGAUUGAUUGAACCGGAAACGGUUUUUUCCUUCGGGACAAUUUACAAGGUGCUGCAUGGUUGUCGUCAGCUCGUGCCGUGAGGUGUCGGGUUAAGUCCCAUAACGAGCGC